UACGUAGGGGGCAAGCGUUGUCCGGAAUCAUUGGGCGUAAAGAGCGUGUAGGCGGCCCGAUAAGUCCGCCGUGAAAGUCCAGGGCUCAACCCUGGAAUGCCGGUGGAAACUGUCGGGCUGGAGUCCGGAAGAGGAGAGUGGAAUUCCUGGUGUAGCGGUGAAAUGCGCAGAUAUCAGGAAGAACACCCGUGGCGAAGGCGGCUCUCUGGUACGUGACUGACGCUGAGACGCGAAAGCGUGGGGAGCGAACAGG
This 253-nucleotide ribosomal RNA is filed under the name uncultured bacterium. RNAcentral's name for it is "partial 16S ribosomal RNA". It matches the Rfam family "Bacterial small subunit ribosomal RNA", at positions 524 to 776 of the family's 1533-position model. The record is from RNAcentral.